RNAcentral lists this ribosomal RNA (429 nucleotides) under Actinomycetes bacterium. Its description in RNAcentral is "Actinobacteria bacterium partial 16S ribosomal RNA". It matches the Rfam family "Bacterial small subunit ribosomal RNA", at positions 355 to 776 of the family's 1533-position model. The record is from RNAcentral. Lineage: Bacteria; Bacillati; Actinomycetota; Actinomycetes.
UAGGGAAUCUUCCGCAAUGGGCGAAAGCCCGACGGAGCAACGCCGCGUGAGUGAUGAAGGUCUUCGGAUCGUAAAACUCUGUUAUUAGGGAAGAACAAAUGUGUAAGUAACUAUGCACGUCUUGACGGUACCUAAUCAGAAAGCCACGGCUAACUACGUGCCAGCAGCCGCGGUAAUACGUAGGUGGCAAGCGUUAUCCGGAAUUAUUGGGCGUAAAGCGCGCGUAGGCGGUUUUUUAAGUCUGAUGUGAAAGCCCACGGCUCAACCGUGGAGGGUCAUUGGAAACUGGAAGACUUGAGUGCAGAAGAGGAAAGUGGAAUUCCAUGUGUAGCGGUGAAAUGCGCAGAGAUAUGGAGGAACACCAGUGGCGAAGGCGACUUUCUGGUCUGUAACUGACGCUGAUGUGCGAAAGCGUGGGGAUCAAACAGG